GCGCAGGUGCUGGAAUUGGUAGACAACCGGCCCCGAGAUGGCCGGGCCCGAAAGGGUGUGAGGGUUCGAAUCCCUCCCUGUGCA
Molecule: transfer RNA, 84 nt
Filed under: Myxococcales bacterium
Lineage: Bacteria; Pseudomonadati; Myxococcota; Myxococcia; Myxococcales
Description: tRNA-Leu
Rfam family: tRNA
About the family: Transfer RNA (tRNA) molecules are approximately 80 nucleotides in length. Their secondary structure includes four short double-helical elements and three loops (D, anti-codon, and T loops).
Source: RNAcentral